Long non-coding RNA from Gorilla gorilla gorilla (western lowland gorilla), 2106 nucleotides. RefSeq lists it as uncharacterized. The record is from RefSeq and is a predicted model, not a curated record. The transcript has 2 exons. Lineage: Eukaryota; Metazoa; Chordata; Mammalia; Primates; Hominidae.
GGGCUUUGCGCCGACUUUGGCCUUGGCUACCGGGUCCGCGUGCGUUUCCCCUGAAUCGCCGCAAAAACGUCCGUACACAGCUCGCCGUGCGUCUGGCCCUGAAAGCAGCCCCACGAGCGGAGGAAGGAGGCGCAGGACGCCAGCCGAGCCACGUUUCCCGACCAGAGAUCCCCGUGGAGCAACGCGGGGACAAUCUCUAGGCCACAAAACAGAUCCGGGAUCUUCACCUACGAGAGCAACGGCUGCAGUUAUCGCUGGCCUCAGGGAGCCCCGGUCUCAUCACCUCGUUCUUGGAAAUAAGGCAAAGCCCACUCGCGAUCUGCUUCGGUGUCCAGCCCCAGCACUGCCUGCCAAGCCCAGAAACAGGGGCCACCUGACUUCAGGGGAGUCUCGCUUUGUCUAACUUAGGGCUUCCUCCUAAUUUAGGUCUAGAAUCCCCACGCAGUGGAGAACCUCCGAGGUUAUAGUUUUAAUCGACCCACAGAAUAGGAACCAGUGUUGCGCUACCUUAGCAAACUCUGGCCACUUUUAUUUCGCUACACAUAUAUGUCUGCAGGUUUGGUUUGGUUUUGUUGUUUUUUUCUUUGAGAGGGAGUCUCGCUCUGUCACCCAGGCUGGAGUGCAGUGGCACCAUCUCGGCUCACUGCAACCUCCGCCUCCCGGAUUCAAGUGAUUCUCCUGCCUCAGCCUACUGAGUAGCUGGGAUUACAGGCGCCCGCCACUACACCCGGCUAAUUUUUGUAUUUUUAGUAGAGAUGGGGUUUCACCAUAUUGGCCAGUCUGGUCUUGAAAUCCUGACCUCAGGUAAUCUAUCCACCUCGGCCUCCCAAAGUGCUAGGAUUACAGGCUUGAGCCACCAUGCCCAGCCUAGUUUCUUCAUUAAUGAGUUCAAGUCUCUUUGAUGUAUACUCACUCUGGAUUGACAUGCACAUUCUUUUUUAACAUUUUAAGAGUUAUAUUUUGAUUUUUUUUUUCUUUUUGAUACAGGAUCUCACUCUGUCGUCCAGGCUGGAGUGCAAUGGUGCAAUCUCCCCUCACUGCAGCCUCCGCCUCCCGGGUUCAAGUGAUUCUCCUGCCUCAGCCUCCCGAGUAGCUGGGAUUACAGGCAUGCACCACCAUGCACGGUUAAUUUUUGCAUUUUUAGUACAGACAGGGUUUCACCAUGUUGGCCAGGCUGGUCUCAAACUCCUGACCUCAAGUGAUCCGCCCACCUAGGCCUCCCAAAUGCUGCGAUUACAGGCGUGAGCUACUGCGCCCGGCCGAGAGUUAUGUUUUGAAAUCAGUCACUCUGGAUCAUCUGGUACCCACAUCUUCCCAUGGGAGAGGAACAGGAUGGAGUGGACAAGUGUUACUGAUAGUAAGAACAGUAAUCAUGGUAAACACCACCAUUUACAAGCACCUGUGUUUCAGAGGAGGAAAGUCGGAGGCUAAAUACCUGGUGACCUAGCAGUGGAGAGGGGCACGAGGAGCCAAGUGUGUCUUCACUCCUCACUCCUUUCGGACUCCCUGUUGGGGGAACCCCCUGCCCCUGCCCCCCUUCCUCCCUGAUGUGUGCUCCAGGACUCAGUGUUCCCUGCUCCAGCUCCGUUUUACAGACGACCCUGCACAAAUGCGGCAGGAUCAUGAGAGGACCAGCUCUUUCCCAGAGAAGUCACUGUCGUGCCCACCUGUAGCCGGGACCAGAGUUCUCGCGCCUCUCGGUCAGCAUAGUCCUUCUCAAUGAGGUCCAGCUGCGCCUGGAGCCGGUGCCGGGCGAAAAAGGUCGGCCAAUCAUCCUGCCACUCAUUCACCUGGACAACAAGGGAAAAGAGGCCACUGUUGCAAUUCGGAGCCAAGUGCUGCCUAAACCCUAGAGGGACCAUUCAAAACACAGCAAAGAUACCUAGUAAGCCAACAAAGGAGGUAAGACAGAAACAUAAAAUACUCAACCCAGAGGAAGGCAGGUAAAGAGAGAACAAAGGGCAGAUGAAACAAAAAACAAAUUGCAAGAUGACAGACUCAAAACUAACUAUAUGACUAAGCACAUUAAAUACAAAUGUCAAAAAUAAAUACUCUUGGUAAAUGACAGAUUGGCAGGUUGGAAAAAUAAAGCAAAUCCAACAAUAA